RNAcentral lists this long non-coding RNA (355 nucleotides) under Rattus norvegicus (Norway rat). RNAcentral's name for it is "long non-coding RNA NONRATT008131". The record is from RNAcentral. Lineage: Eukaryota; Metazoa; Chordata; Mammalia; Rodentia; Muridae.
GGUCAGAGAUGAAUGGGUGCUGCCAUGGUGAACAACACAAAUGUCAUCUGGGCUGGCUGAACCUCUACCCCCCAACCUCCUCAUGUCGUCGAAGAAAGUGGAGCUAAUUUCCCUUGGAACUUGGGAAAAUUAACAUCCACACGGGUAGUAGAUAUGCCUUUGCCACAGCCCACAUUCACAAGACUAUAUACCAAAAGAGAGGACUGCUCACAUCAGAGGGAAAAGAAAACAGGAAAUCUUGGAUCUCUUGGAUGCCCUGAUGAAGCCAGCAACUGGGUUUGCAUUCCAGAGAACAUGCGUUCCUAGAUCAUCUAUUUAAAGCUACCUGAACAUCUGAGUUGUCCCAACAGUACCU